GACGAACGCUGGCGGCGUGCUUAACACAUGCAAGUCGAACGGAAAGGCCCUGCUUUUGUGGGUUGCUCGAGUGGCGAACGGGUGAGUAACACGUGAGUAACCUGCCCUUGACUGUGGGAUAACUUCAGGAAACUGGGGCUAAUAUCGGGUAGGAGCUCCUGCUGCAUGGUGGGGGUUGGAAAGAUUCGGCGGUGGGGGAUGGACUCGCGGCUUAUCAGCUUGUUGGUGGGGUAGUGGCUUACCAAGGGUUUGACGGGUAGCCGGCCUGAGAGGGUGACCGGCCACAUUGGGACUGCGAUACGGACCAGACUCCUACGGGAGGCAGCAGUGGGGAAUAUUGCGCAAUGGGCGGAAGCCUGAUGCAGCAACGCCGCGUGCGGGAUGACGGCCUUCGGGUUGUAAACCGCUUUCGCCUGUGACGAAGCGUGAGUGACGGUAAUGGGUAAAGAAGCACCGGCUAACUACGUG
This 468-nucleotide ribosomal RNA is filed under the name uncultured bacterium. RNAcentral describes it as "partial 16S ribosomal RNA". It matches the Rfam family "Bacterial small subunit ribosomal RNA", at positions 28 to 507 of the family's 1533-position model. The record is from RNAcentral.